RNAcentral lists this ribosomal RNA (492 nucleotides) under uncultured bacterium. Its description in RNAcentral is "partial 16S ribosomal RNA". It matches the Rfam family "Bacterial small subunit ribosomal RNA", at positions 29 to 507 of the family's 1533-position model. The record is from RNAcentral.
AGUGAACGCUGGCGGUAGGCCUAACACAUGCAAGUCGAACGGCAGCACAGUAAGGGCUUGCUCUUACGGGUGGCGAGUGGCGGACGGGUGAGGAAUACAUCGGAAUCUACUUUUUCGUGGGGGAUAACGUAGGGAAACUUACGCUAAUACCGCAUACGACCUACGGGUGAAAGCAGGGGAUCUUCGGACCUUGCGCGAUUGAAUGAGCCGAUGUCGGAUUAGCUAGUUGGCGGGGUAAAGGCCCACCAAGGCGACGAUCCGUAGCUGGUCUGAGAGGAUGAUCAGCCACACUGGAACUGAGACACGGUCCAGACUCCCACGGGAGGCAGCAGUGGGGAAUAUUGGACAAUGGGCGCAAGCCUGAUCCAGCCAUACCGCGUGGGUGAAGAAGGCCUUCGGGUUGUAAAGCCCUUUUGUUGGGAAAGAAAAGCAGCAGGUUAAUACCCCGCUGUUCUGACGGUACCCAAAGAAUAAGCACCGGCUAACUUCGUG